This 433-nucleotide ribosomal RNA is filed under the name uncultured bacterium. Its description in RNAcentral is "partial 16S ribosomal RNA". It matches the Rfam family "Bacterial small subunit ribosomal RNA", at positions 29 to 507 of the family's 1533-position model. The record is from RNAcentral.
AACGAACGCUGGCGGCAUGCCUAACACAUGCAAGUCGAACGAGACCUUCGGGUCUAGUGGCGCACGGGUGCGUAACGCGUGGGAACCUGCCCUUAGGUUCGGAGUAACUCCCCGAAAGGGGUGCUAAUACCGGAUAAUGUCUUCGGACCAAAGAUUUAUCGCCUUUGGAUGGGCCCGCGUUGGAUUAGCUAGUUGGUAGGGUAAAAGCCUACCAAGGCGACGAUCCAUAGCUGGUCUGAGAGGAUGAGCAGCCACACUGGGACUGAGACACGGCCCAGACUCCUACGGGAGGCAGCAGUGGGGAAUAUUGGACAAUGGGCGAAAGCCUGAUCCAGCAAUGCCGCGUGAGUGAUGAAGGCCUUAGGGUUGUAAAGCUCUUUUACCCGGGAUGAUAAUGACAGUACCGGGAGAAUAAGCUCCGGCUAACUCCGUG